This 254-nucleotide ribosomal RNA is filed under the name uncultured bacterium. RNAcentral describes it as "partial 16S ribosomal RNA". It matches the Rfam family "Bacterial small subunit ribosomal RNA", at positions 524 to 776 of the family's 1533-position model. The record is from RNAcentral.
UACGGAGGGUGCGAGCGUUAUCCGGAAUCACUGGGUUUAAAGGGUGCGUAGGCGGUUCGAUAAGUCAGUUGUGAAAUUCCCCGGCUUAACCGGUGGGACUGCGAUUGAUACUGUCGGACUUGAAUCAGGUUGAGGUAGGCGGAAUGUGACAUGUAGCGGUGAAAUGCUUAGAUAUGUCAUAGAACACCGAUUGCGAAGGCAGCUUGCUGGGCUUAGAUUGACGCUGAGGCACGAAAGCGUGGGGAGCAAACAGG